RNAcentral lists this ribosomal RNA (396 nucleotides) under uncultured bacterium. RNAcentral's name for it is "bacterial SSU rRNA". It matches the Rfam family "Bacterial small subunit ribosomal RNA", at positions 28 to 416 of the family's 1533-position model. The record is from RNAcentral.
GACGAACGCUGGCGGCGCGCUUAACACAUGCAAGUCGAACGGGGUUCACUCCUUCGGGGUGGAUUCAGUGGCGAACGGGUGCGUAACACGUGAGCAACCUGCCCUCAGGUGGGGGAUAACCCGGGGAAACCCGGGCUAAUACCGCAUACGAUCUCCGGGCCGAUUGACCUGGAGAGGAAAGCUCCUGCAAGGGAGCGCCGGAAGAGGGGCUCGCGGCGUAUCAGGUAGAUGGUGGGGUAACGGCUCACCAUGCCGACGACGCGUAGCCGAUCUGAGAGGAUGAUCGGCCACAUUGGGACUGAGAUACGGCCCAGACUCCUACGGGAGGCAGCAGUGGGGAAUCUUGCGCAAUGGGCGAAAGCCUGACGCAGCGACGCCGCGUGCGGGAGGAAGCUC